GGGUCAGUAGGUUGGUCGUGCCACUGGUAUGCACUGGCCUUACUGAUUCCUCCUUCUUGAAGAACUGUGAUGUCAUUUACUUGGUGUUGCAGGGAAACAGGACUGUUACUUUGAAAAAAUUAGAGUGUUUAAAGCAGGCCAAUGCCUGAAUACAUUAGCAUGGAAUAAUAAAAUAGGACGUAACGAUCCUAUUUUGUUGGUUUCUAGGAUUGACGUA
RNAcentral lists this ribosomal RNA (217 nucleotides) under uncultured fungus. RNAcentral's name for it is "partial small subunit ribosomal RNA". The stretch from base 40 to 217 matches the Rfam family "Eukaryotic small subunit ribosomal RNA", at positions 686 to 864 of the family's 1831-position model. The record is from RNAcentral. Lineage: Eukaryota; Fungi.